Molecule: ribosomal RNA, 468 nt
Filed under: uncultured bacterium
Lineage: Bacteria
Description: partial 16S ribosomal RNA
Rfam family: Bacterial small subunit ribosomal RNA
Source: RNAcentral
GACGAACGCUGGCGGCGUGCUUAAUACAUGCAAGUCGAACGGAAAGGCCCUGCUUUUGUGGGGUGCUCGAGUGGCGAACGGGUGAGUAACACGUGAGUAACCUGCCCUUGACUUUGGGAUAACUUCAGGAAACUGGGGCUAAUAUCGGAUAGGAGCUCCUGCUGCACGGGGGGGGAUGGAAAGUUUCGGCGGUUGGGGCUGGACUCGCGGCUUAUCAGCUUGUUGGUGGGGUAGUGGCGUACCAAGGCUUUGACGGGUAGCCGGCCUUAGAGGGUGACCGGCCACAUGGGGACUGCGAUACGGCCCAGACGCCUACGGUAGGCAGCAGUGGGGAAUAUUGCACAAUGGGCGGAAGCCUGAUGCAGCAACGCCGCGUGCGGGAUGACGGCCUUCGGGUUGUGAACCGCUUUCGCCUGUGACGAAGCGUGAGUGACGGUAAUGGGUAAAGAAGCACCGGCUAACUACGUG